Prosopis cineraria is the source of this 786-nucleotide long non-coding RNA. RefSeq lists it as uncharacterized. The transcript is spliced from 2 exons. Lineage: Eukaryota; Viridiplantae; Streptophyta; Magnoliopsida; Fabales; Fabaceae. The record is from RefSeq and is a predicted model, not a curated record.
CCCAAAUUCCCUGGGAAGCCAUCUUUAAGAUGAAUUCCUUAGAAGCGAAUCGGAAUCUGGCCUUCUUGGACCGGUGGCCUUAGACGGCAUUGAUCUUGCCAACCUUGAUCAGAGCACUGAGUCAUGGGUCGACCUUGUGAAGGCAAUCGAUGGUUCGACCCAAGAAAGAAAGAUUUACAUAUCAGGAGCUCCACGUUGCGAACUCACAAACUUCGACAGCGCAAUCGCUACUGGUCUUGUGGAUUAUCUUUUUGUUUUAUACUAUGGCCAAUACGCGACGUGCGAAUAUUUAGGAAAUGGCGACUUCACGGGGCUUCUUGAAUCAUGGUCGACGUGGACGUCCAAGGAAGGUGUAGCUGAUCAUACCUCUGUGUUCUUGGGGUUAGUAGCGUCAGAUGACCCAGCUGCAGCAUCCAGUGGUUACAUAUCACCAGAACAGCUCGAGUCUGUGGUUUUUCCGAACGUGACUGAAUCUUCAAACUUUGGUGGAGUGAUGAUAUGGAACAGGUACUAUGAUGAGCUAACUAGUUAUACUACUGAUAUUAAGGAUGCUUCUGGCAUGAAAGUUUGUAAAUAUGUUCGUCGUGUUCCUGCCUCAAGGAAAUUCAGAAGUUUCUUGGCCAAAUCUGUGUAAGAUGGGAAGGGAUGUAAUAAUAGCUUGACAUAGCUAUAUCUAUGUCUAGCUACAGCUAGGCUUGCAUGCCAGUGUGACUGUAUGAUCCAUGCAUGUUUUACUAAAACCAUGUAAUGGAUAUCUCCCUUUAAAUAAAGAUCUACUUUUGUAAA